RNAcentral lists this non-coding RNA (28 nucleotides) under Rattus norvegicus (Norway rat). Lineage: Eukaryota; Metazoa; Chordata; Mammalia; Rodentia; Muridae. The record is from RNAcentral.
UCUAAAUCCCCGGAGGAGACCCCUGUUC